CCCGCCGGAGGUUACUGCUAUCGAGGUUCGACUAAGCCAUGCGAGUCGAAUGUAGCAAUACAUGGCGUACUGCUCAGUAACACGUGGAUAACCUACCCUUGAGACGGGGAUAAACCCGGGAAACUGGGUAUAAUACCCGAUAGAUCUCGUCUGCUGGAAUGCAUCGAGCUCUAAAGCUCCGGCGCUCAAGGAUGGGUCUGCGGCCUAUCAGGUAGUAGUGGGUGUAGCGUACCUACUAGCCUACGACGGGUACGGGUUGUGAGAGCAAGAGCCCGGAGAUGGAUUCUGAGACACGAAUCCAGGCCCUACGGGGUGCAGCAGGCGCGAAAACUUUACAAUGCUGGAAACAGCGAUAAGGGGACCUCGAGUGCCAGGUUACAAAUCUGGCUGUCGUGAUGCCUAAAAAGCAUUGCAUAGCAAGGGCCGGGCAAGACCGGUGCCAGCCGCCGCGGUAACACCGGCGGCUCGAGUGGUAACCGUUAUUAUUGGGUCUAAAGGGUCUGUAGCCGGCCGGAUAAGUCUCUUGGGAAAUCUGGCAGCUUAACUGUCAGGCUUUCAGGAGAUACUGUCUGGCUCGAGGCCGGGAGAGGUGAGAGGUACUUCAGGGGUAGGGGUGAAAUCUUGUAAUCCUUGAAGGACCACCAGUGGCGAAGGCGUCUCACCAGAGCGGACCUGACGGCAAGGGACGAAAGCUAGGGGCACGAACCGGAUUAGAUACCCGGGUAGUCCUAGCCGUAAACGAUACUCGCUAGGUGUCGGCCACGGUGCGACCGUUGUCGGUGCCGUAGGGAAGCCGUGAAGCGAGCCACCUGGGAAGUACGGCCGCAAGGCUGAAACUGAAAGGAAUUGGCGGGA
RNAcentral lists this ribosomal RNA (855 nucleotides) under uncultured Methanosaeta sp. Its description in RNAcentral is "bacterial SSU rRNA". It matches the Rfam family "Archaeal small subunit ribosomal RNA", at positions 13 to 873 of the family's 1478-position model. Lineage: Archaea; Methanobacteriati; Methanobacteriota; Methanomicrobia; Methanotrichales; Methanotrichaceae. The record is from RNAcentral.